UGGGGAAUAUUGCGCAAUGGGCGAAAGCCUGACGCAGCGACGCCGCGUGAGGGAUGAAGGUUUUCGGAUCGUAAACCUCUGUCAGAAGGGAAGAAACCGCACUGUGCUAAUCAGCAGUGCCUUGACGGUACCUUCAAAGGAAGCACCGGCUAACUCCGUGCCAGCAGCCGCGGUAAUACGGAGGGUGCAAGCGUUAAUCGGAAUUACUGGGCGUAAAGCGCACGUAGGCUGCUUUGUAAGUCAGGGGUGAAAUCCCACGGCUCAACCGUGGAACUGCCUUUGAUACUGCUUAGCUUGAAUCCGGGAGAGGGUGGCGGAAUUCCAGGUGUAGGAGUGAAAUCCGUAGAUAUCUGGAGGAACAUCAGUGGCAAAGGCGGCCACCUGGACCGGUAUUGACGCUGAGGUGCGAAAGCGUGGGGAGCAAACAGG
Molecule: ribosomal RNA, 429 nt
Filed under: Fusobacteriota bacterium
Lineage: Bacteria; Fusobacteriati; Fusobacteriota
Description: Fusobacteria bacterium partial 16S ribosomal RNA
Rfam family: Bacterial small subunit ribosomal RNA
Source: RNAcentral